RNAcentral lists this ribosomal RNA (1688 nucleotides) under Salmonella enterica subsp. enterica serovar Typhimurium str. STm4. Its description in RNAcentral is "bacterial LSU rRNA". It matches the Rfam family "Bacterial large subunit ribosomal RNA", at positions 1271 to 2925 of the family's 2925-position model. The record is from RNAcentral. Lineage: Bacteria; Pseudomonadati; Pseudomonadota; Gammaproteobacteria; Enterobacterales; Enterobacteriaceae.
UGCUGGAGGUAUCAGAAGUGCGAAUGCUGACAUAAGUAACGAUAAAGCGGGUGAAAAGCCCGCUCGCCGGAAGACCAAGGGUUCCUGUCCAACGUUAAUCGGGGCAGGGUGAGUCGACCCCUAAGGCGAGGCCGAAAGGCGUAGUCGAUGGGAAACGGGUUAAUAUUCCCGUACUUGGUGUUACUGCGAAGGGGGGACGGAGAAGGCUAUGUUGGCCGGGCGACGGUUGUCCCGGUUUAAGCGUGUAGGUGUGUGUUCCAGGUAAAUCCGGUUCACUUUAACACUGAGGCGUGACGACGAGGCACUACGGUGCUGAAGCAACAAAUGCCCUGCUUCCAGGAAAAGCCUCUAAGCAUCAGGUAACANGAAAUCGUACCCCAAACCGACACAGGUGGUCAGGUAGAGAAUACCAAGGCGCUUGAGAGAACUCGGGUGAAGGAACUAGGCAAAAUGGUGCCGUAACUUCGGGAGAAGGCACGCUGACACGUAGGUGAAGUGAUUUACUCANGGAGCUGAAGUCAGUCGAAGAUACCAGCUGGCUGCAACUGUUUAUUAAAAACACAGCACUGUGCAAACACGAAAGUGGACGUAUACGGUGUGACGCCUGCCCGGUGCCGGAAGGUUAAUUGAUGGGGUCAGCGNAAGCGAAGCUCCUGAUCGAAGCCCCGGUAAACGGCGGCCGUAACUAUAACGGUCCUAAGGUAGCGAAAUUCCUUGUCGGGUAAGUUCCGACCUGCACGAAUGGCGUAAUGAUGGCCAGGCUGUCUCCACCCGAGACUCAGUGAAAUUGAACUCGCUGUGAAGAUGCAGUGUACCCGCGGCAAGACGGAAAGACCCCGUGAACCUUUACUAUAGCUUGACACUGAACAUUGAGCCUUGAUGUGUAGGAUAGGUGGGAGGCUUUGAAGUGUGGACGCCAGUCUGCAUGGAGCCGACCUUGAAAUACCACCCUUUAAUGUUUGAUGUUCUAACGUGGACCCGUAAUCCGGGUUGCGGACAGUGUCUGGUGGGUAGUUUGACUGGGGCGGUCUCCUCCUAAAGAGUAACGGAGGAGCACGAAGGUUGGCUAAUCCUGGUCGGACAUCAGGAGGUUAGUGCAAUGGCAUAAGCCAGCUUGACUGCGAGCGUGACNGCGCGAGCAGGUGCGAAAGCAGGUCAUAGUGAUCCGGUGGUUCUGAAUGGAAGGGCCAUCGCUCAACGGAUAAAAGGUACUCCGGGGAUAACAGGCUGAUACCGCCCAAGAGUUCAUAUCGACGGCGGUGUUUGGCACCUCGAUGUCGGCUCAUCACAUCCUGGGGCUGAAGUAGGUCCCAAGGGUAUGGCUGUUCGCCAUUUAAAGUGGUACGCGAGCUGGGUUUAGAACGUCGUGAGACAGUUCGGUCCCUAUCUGCCGUGGGCGCUGGAGAACUGAGGGGGGCUGCUCCUAGUACGAGAGGACCGGAGUGGACGCAUCACUGGUGUUCGGGUUGUCAUGCCAAUGGCACUGCCCGGUAGCUAAAUGCGGAAGAGAUAAGUGCUGAAAGCAUCUAAGCACGAAACUUGCCCCGAGAUGAGUUCUCCCUGAGACUUNGAGUCUCCUGAAGGAACGUUGAANACGACGACGUUGAUAGGCCGGGUGUGUAAGCGCAGCGAUGCGUUGAGCUAACCGGUACUAAUGAACCGUGAGGCUUAACCUUACAACGCCGAAG